RNAcentral lists this ribosomal RNA (452 nucleotides) under uncultured bacterium. RNAcentral describes it as "bacterial SSU rRNA". It matches the Rfam family "Bacterial small subunit ribosomal RNA", at positions 340 to 786 of the family's 1533-position model. The record is from RNAcentral.
UACGGGAGGCAGCAGUGGGGAAUAUUGCACAAUGGGCGCAAGCCUGAUGCAGCCAUGCCGCGUGUAUGAAGAAGGCCUUCGGGUUGUAAAGUACUUUCAGUCGUGAGGAAGGUGUUAAGGUUAAUAACCUUAGCAAUUGACGUUAGCGACAGAAGAAGCACCGGCUAACUCCGUGCCAGCAGCCGCGGUAAUACGGAGGGUGCGAGCGUUAAUCGGAAUUACUGGGCGUAAAGGGCACGCAGGCGGUUAAUUAAGUUGGAUGUGAGAUCCCCGGGCUUAACCUGGGAAUGGCAUUCAAGACUGGUUAGCUAGAGUCUUGUAGAGGGGGUAGAAUUCCAUGUGUAGCGGUGAAAUGCGUAGAGAUGUGGAGGAAUACCGGUGGCGAAGGCGGCCCCUGGACAAGACUGACGCUCAUGUGCGAAAGCGUGGGGAGCAAACGAGGAUUAGAUACC